This 148-nucleotide non-coding RNA is filed under the name Homo sapiens (human). Lineage: Eukaryota; Metazoa; Chordata; Mammalia; Primates; Hominidae. The record is from Rfam by way of RNAcentral.
GCUGGGCAUGCUGGUGCAUGCCUGUAAUCCCAGCUACGUGGGAGGCUGAGGCAGGAGAAUAGCUUGAACCCAGGAGGCAGAGGUUGCAGUGAGUGGAGAUCAUGCCACUGCACUCCAGCUUGGGUAACAGAGUGAGACUCUGUCUCAA